CGGUGCUGAAGCAACAAAUGCCCUGCUUCCAGGAAAAGCCUCUAAGCAUCAGGUAACAUCAAAUCGUACCCCAAACCGACACAGGUGGUCAGGUAGAGAAUACCAAGGCGCUUGAGAGAACUCGGGUGAAGGAACUAGGCAAAAUGGUGCCGUAACUUCGGGAGAAGGCACGCUGACACGUAGGUGAAGUGAUUUACUCACGGAGCUGAAGUCAGCCGAAGAUACCAGCUGGCUGCAACUGUUUAUUAAAAACACAGCACUGUGCAAACACGAAAGUGGACGUAUACGGUGUGACGCCUGCCCGGUGCCGGAAGGUUAAUUGAUGGGGUCAGCGCAAGCGAAGCUCCUGAUCGAAGCCCCGGUAAACGGCGGCCGUAACUAUAACGGUCCUAAGGUAGCGAAAUUCCUUGUCGGGUAAGUUCCGACCUGCACGAAUGGCGUAAUGAUGGCCAGGCUGUCUCCACCCGAGACUCAGUGAAAUUGAACUCGCUGUGAAGAUGCAGUGUACCCGCGGCAAGACGGAAAGACCCCGUGAACCUUUACUAUAGCUUGACACUGAACAUUGAGCCUUGAUGUGUAGGAUAGGUGGGAGGCUUUGAAGUGUGGACGCCAGUCUGCAUGGAGCCGACCUUGAAAUACCACCCUUUAAUGUUUGAUGUUCUAACGUGGACCCGUGAUCCGGGUUGCGGACAGUGUCUGGUGGGUAGUUUGACUGGGGCGGUCUCCUCCUAAAGAGUAACGGAGGAGCACGAAGGUUGGCUAAUCCUGGUCGGACAUCAGGAGGUUAGUGCAAUGGCAUAAGCCAGCUUGACUGCGAGCGUGACGGCGCGAGCAGGUGCGAAAGCAGGUCAUAGUGAUCCGGUGGUUCUGAAUGGAAGGGCCAUCGCUCAACGGAUAAAAGGUACUCCGGGGAUAACAGGCUGAUACCGCCCAAGAGUUCAUAUCGACGGCGGUGUUUGGCACCUCGAUGUCGGCUCAUCACAUCCUGGGGCUGAAGUAGGUCCCAAGGGUAUGGCUGUUCGCCAUUUAAAGUGGUACGCGAGCUGGGUUUAGAACGUCGUGAGACAGUUCGGUCCCUAUCUGCCGUGGGCGCUGGAGAACUGAGGGGGGCUGCUCCUAGUACGAGAGGACCGGAGUGGACGCAUCACUGGUGUUCGGGUUGUCAUGCCAAUGGCACUGCCCGGUAGCUAAAUGCGGAAGAGAUAAGUGCUGAAAGCAUCUAAGCACGAAACUUGCCCCGAGAUGAGUUCUCCCUGAGACUUUAGGUCUCCUGAAGGAACGUUGAAGACGACGACGUUGAUAGGCCGGGUGUGUAAGCGCAGCGAUGCGUUGAGCUAACCGGUACUAAUGAACCGUGAGGCUUAACCUU
Molecule: ribosomal RNA, 1369 nt
Filed under: Salmonella enterica subsp. enterica serovar Typhi
Lineage: Bacteria; Pseudomonadati; Pseudomonadota; Gammaproteobacteria; Enterobacterales; Enterobacteriaceae
Description: partial 23S ribosomal RNA
Rfam family: Bacterial large subunit ribosomal RNA
Source: RNAcentral